CUGGCGACCGGCGCACGGGUGCGUAACGCGUAUGCAACCUACCUUUAACAGGGGGAUAACACUGAGAAAUUGGUACUAAUACCCCAUAAUAUCAUAGAAGGCAUCUUUUAUGGUUGAAAAUUCCGAUGGUUAGAGAUGGGCAUGCGUUGUAUUAGCUAGUUGGUGGGGUAACGGCUCACCAAGGCAACGAUACAUAGGGGGACUGAGAGGUUAACCCCCCACAUUGGUACUGAGACACGGACCAA
This 245-nucleotide ribosomal RNA is filed under the name uncultured bacterium. RNAcentral describes it as "partial 16S ribosomal RNA". It matches the Rfam family "Bacterial small subunit ribosomal RNA", at positions 88 to 334 of the family's 1533-position model. The record is from RNAcentral.